Long non-coding RNA from Gadus chalcogrammus (walleye pollock), 294 nucleotides. RefSeq lists it as uncharacterized. The record is from RefSeq and is a predicted model, not a curated record. NCBI's taxonomy places the organism in Eukaryota, Metazoa, Chordata, Actinopteri, Gadiformes, Gadidae. The transcript has 3 exons.
UAACCGCCCAAGCGGUAAGAGUCCCGUGGGCACGGUUCAGGAGCCUCCCUCCAAGUAUCCAGUCCCGGUGGGCGUGUUUGCCAAGAACUCCCUGUGGAAGGGCUCCUACGAGUACCUGGGCAAGAAGCAGCCCGCCAUGCUCAGCAUCAGCGCCUUCGAGGCCUUCAGCAACCGUGUCAACGGCACCCUCAUCGACCACAGCGGCGUGGAGCUCAAGCUAGCCGGCACCUACAAGCGGGAAGAGGCUCAGCUUCUUCUGCAGGUCCAUCAGAUCCGAGGUCCGGUGGAGAUCUU